Molecule: ribosomal RNA, 131 nt
Filed under: Chaetothyriales sp.
Lineage: Eukaryota; Fungi; Ascomycota; Eurotiomycetes; Chaetothyriales
Description: partial small subunit ribosomal RNA
Rfam family: Eukaryotic small subunit ribosomal RNA
Source: RNAcentral
CCCUGCCCUUUGUACACACCGCCCGUCGCUACUACCGAUUGAAUGGCUCAGUGAGGCCUUGGGACUGGCUCAGAGAGGUCGGCAACGACCACUCAGAGCCGGAAACUUGGUCAAACUUGGUCAUUUAGAGG